Molecule: small nucleolar RNA, 72 nt
Organism: Corylus avellana
Lineage: Eukaryota; Viridiplantae; Streptophyta; Magnoliopsida; Fagales; Betulaceae
Product: small nucleolar RNA Z105
Source: RefSeq, a predicted model, not a curated record
GCAUGGUGAUGAUGAAUUGAAAAACGUCCGAUUAAAUUCAUGACAGGAGACAAUACCUCCUACUCAUUCUGA